ACUCCUACGGGAGGCAGCAGUGGGGAAUAUUGCACGAAAUGGGCGCAAGCCUGAUGCAGCCAUGCCGCGUGUAUGAAGAAGGCCUUCGGGUUGUAAAGUACUUUCAGCAGUGAGGAAGGUGGGUAUGUUAAUAGCAUACUCAUUUGACGUUAGCUGCAGAAGAAGCACCGGCUAACUCCGUGCCAGCAGCCGCGGUAAUACGGAGGGUGCGAGCGUUAAUCGGAAUUACUGGGCGUAAAGCGCAUGCAGGUGGUUUGUUAAGUCAGAUGUGAAAGCCCGGGGCUCAACCUCGGAAUUGCAUUUGAAACUGGGCAAACUAGAGUACUGUAGAGGGGGGUAGAAUUUCAGGUGUAGCGGUGAAAUGCGUAGAGAUACUGGAACGGAAUACCGGUGGCGAAGGCGGCCCCCUGGACAGAUACUAGGCACGUCAGAUGCGAAAGCGUGGGGAGCAAACAGGAUUAGAUACCCGUGGUAGGCUCUGC
Molecule: ribosomal RNA, 482 nt
Filed under: uncultured bacterium
Lineage: Bacteria
Description: bacterial SSU rRNA
Rfam family: Bacterial small subunit ribosomal RNA
Source: RNAcentral